Molecule: unclassified non-coding RNA, 240 nt
Filed under: soil metagenome
Description: partial contains 5.8S ribosomal RNA, internal transcribed spacer 2, and large subunit ribosomal RNA
Source: RNAcentral
AACGAGGCCGACCUGCGGCUGAGUUACCUGCGGAGGGAUCAUUACUGAAUUGAUUUUGGGGAUGUUGCUGGUCUCUUGAGGCAAUGGUGCACUCCCUCAAACAUUUCACAAUUUCCAUCUCACCCAUGUGCACAUCCUGUAGGUGGUCUCCCAACCCCCCCCCACCUUUCCUUGGGGGAGUGUGUGGGUCUGGUCUCCUAUGUAUUUCCUUGCCAACAUCACGCGUUUUGACUGAAUGAA